Molecule: ribosomal RNA, 459 nt
Filed under: uncultured bacterium
Lineage: Bacteria
Description: partial 16S ribosomal RNA
Rfam family: Bacterial small subunit ribosomal RNA
Source: RNAcentral
CCUCGGGAGGUAGUAGUGAGGAAGAGUGGUCAAGGGGCGGAAGCCGGAACCAGUCAAGUAGAGUGAAGGACGACGGACCUACGGGUUGUAAACUGCUUUUAUACGGGAAUAACGCGCCUUACGUGUAGGGCUUUGCAUGUACCGUAUGAAUAAGGACCGGCUAAUUCCGUGCCAGCAGCCGCGGUAAUACGGAAGGUCCGGGCGUUAUCCGGAUUUAGUGGGUGUAAAGGGAGCGUAGGCCGCAUGUCAAGCGUGCUGUGAAAUGUCCGGGCUCAACCCGGGCCUUGCAGCGCGAACUGGCGUGCUUGAGUCCGCGGAAAGCAGGCGGAAUUCGUCGUGUAGCGGUGAAAUGCUUAGAUAUGACGAAGAACCCCGAUUGCGAAGGCAGCUUGCUGCAGCGGAACUGACGCUGAUGCUCGAAAGCGCGGGUAUCGAACAGGAUUAGAUACCCGGGUAGUC